Long non-coding RNA from Pseudoliparis swirei, 536 nucleotides. RefSeq lists it as uncharacterized. The transcript is spliced from 3 exons. NCBI's taxonomy places the organism in Eukaryota, Metazoa, Chordata, Actinopteri, Perciformes, Liparidae. The record is from RefSeq and is a predicted model, not a curated record.
AUGCAUGAGCAGGAACAAUUCUAUGAUGCUGAGGCCAACACUGGCUAUCUAGCUUGGAGACUCAAAACAGUCCAACGCACCACCUAUGACGGCUUUCGUCGGCGUUCCAGGAACGAUUUCCAGGACAGCCCAACAACCCAACGAGAGACUCUGUUAAUUGGUGGACAGCUCUUUGGUGAGGAGUGCAGAGAGGCUCUCUCAACAAUUCAACACUCAACUGAUCAAUCUGUGGUUAUAACAUCUUCCGUCUUGGAUGUUUUUCAGCGCUUUCUUGACACACCUGGAUUGAUUGAACAGGAUUUCUCAAUGAUGUUUGGGGCUGAAGUAUCUGGGGAGUUUCUUGCAAAGUGGCCUUCAUAUUUCAAUGACAAAGUCAUCGCAGAAUGCCAGAGUCUUCUCCGAAGUCUCCAUGUCGAGGAGUUGCUGGCUUUUGACACUGAGGCUGAGAAUGACUUUGAUGUCUUCAAGGCUGGGAUAGUGAUAUGUCAGCUCUUCUGUUGCUGUUGCAUCUCCUGCCUCCUACAUCAAGAGGCCAC